CAUAGGGUACUUAGAAGUACCUUUUGGGUACACAUCCUGUACGGUACAAAAAAGUACCUUAUUCAAGUCAAAGGGUACACUUCCUGUGGGGUACUAAGAAGUACUUUUCAAGUUACAGGGUACACAAUCCUCUGGGGUAGCAGCUACUUAUGCGUGCCUUUUCUAAGACUGAUAGAGCCUUUGUCAUAAUUUGUAAAUGUGGUAUGCUGAAUAAUCCUCUGUGAUAAGUGCAUAAUUAUUAUCACUAUCAGUUUUCGUAAGUAUUUCCAUUUGUUUCUGCUAAGGGAUUAUUUACAGAUUUAUACUCGAUUUUUAUAAUUAUUAUCAUUAUUGUUUUCAUUUAAAUAAUUGUUGCAUAUAUUUUGGGUUCUAUAAUAAGCACUAUUGGUUCAAAUUAAUUCAAUAUAUAUUAUUAUAGUUAAGAUGGAUGUGUGUGCUUGUUUGUGCGGGCGUGGGCGCGGGCGCGGCAUUGCGCGCAUUUAGAGAAGGAGUUCUCGCGAUACGUUUCAUUCAAGAAAAAGCAACGCUGAUGAUCGCGUCGCUUAAACUUGUUGAUUAAUAUCAUCCUUUACAGGUCAGUGGUCACGCCUCAUUAUUUCACUCGGCACGGCAGUCGCUGGAGCCUGCAGGACGCUUGACAGCUCAACAACUUCAUCCUCAGAUGAGCUGAUCCAAACAUGACAGAAGGUGGUGUAACUAUGACAGAAGUUGAAGCACAGAAAUUCAGAGGGUGAACACAACACACCAUACCCAAUUGUCCAGGUGACCCAAGAAGACUGGAAGUCCACAUUUGAGGGACGAAGCUCCUGUUCCCUUAAGGUAGACAGGGUCGAGGUGUGUGAAGGCAUGAAGGUAGAGGAAGCCAUGAUCUUCUCGUUUUAUUCAUAUUUUGUUUUCAAUCUUGAAUACCAACCCAAAAACCAGAACACUCUGACCUUCCUCCAGCGAUGUAUUGCGAAAAUGCCAUCCAAGAUAUCCAUGUCUUUCUUUCCUCAGUGGGAGAGAAAUUAU
Cyprinus carpio (common carp) is the source of this 1011-nucleotide long non-coding RNA. RefSeq lists it as uncharacterized. The record is from RefSeq and is a predicted model, not a curated record. The transcript has 3 exons. Lineage: Eukaryota; Metazoa; Chordata; Actinopteri; Cypriniformes; Cyprinidae.